Molecule: transfer RNA, 71 nt
Filed under: Camelus bactrianus (Bactrian camel)
Lineage: Eukaryota; Metazoa; Chordata; Mammalia; Artiodactyla; Camelidae
Also listed under: 1 other name
Rfam family: tRNA
About the family: Transfer RNA (tRNA) molecules are approximately 80 nucleotides in length.
Source: Rfam by way of RNAcentral
GAGGGUACAGCUCAGUGGUAGACGUGUGCUUAAUGUGCACAAGGUUCUGGGUUCAAUCCCCAGUGCCUCCA